CAUUAGCUAGUUGGUGAGGUAACGGCUCACCAAGGCUACGAUGGGUAGCUGGUCUGAGAGGAUGGUCAGCCACACUGGAACUGAGAUACGGUCCAGACUCCUACGGGGGGCAGCAGUCUAGAGGCUUCGGCAAUGGGGGAAACCCUGACCGAGCGACGCCGCGUGGAGGAUGAAGCCCUUCGGGGUGUAAACUCCUUUUGUCCGGAAAGAAGGCCCGGAUGGUGAAUCCGGGAUUGACGGUACCGGGCGAAUAAGCCACGGCUAACUCUGUGCCAGCAGCCGCGGUAAGACAGAGGUGGCAAGCGUUAUUCGGAUUUAUUGGGCGUAAAGGGCGCGUAGGCGGCCAGGUGCGUCCGGUGUGAAAACGCUACCGCUUAACGGAGCGAAUGCGCUGGAUACGAUCUGGCUUGAGUCAGGGAGAGGUGAGCGGAAUUCCUGGUGUAACGGUGGAAUGUUUAGAUAUCAGGAAGAACACCGGUGGCGAAGGCGGCUCACUGGCCCUGUACUGACGCUGAGGCGCGAAAGCGUGGGGAGCAAACGGGAUUAGAUACCCCGGUAGUCCACGCUGUAAACGGUGGAUACUAGGUGUGGGAGGUAUCGACCCCUUCCGUGCCGCAG
Molecule: ribosomal RNA, 618 nt
Filed under: uncultured bacterium
Lineage: Bacteria
Description: bacterial SSU rRNA
Rfam family: Bacterial small subunit ribosomal RNA
Source: RNAcentral